CUAGUGGACCCCUGUACUCUACCCCCGAGGAGAAGAGUAAGGGCCAAAUCUUGAAGUGUGUUCUCAAGUCUUAGGACCCAAUUCAGGAAAUCAUCCCCAUUCAAGACAGCAGUUUUAUUUGAUGAAGGAAAUUAUAGUUGUCAUCUGCCCUUUAGAAAUCCCACUGGAGAAAAGAUCAAUAUGACACAAGGACAAAUUUCCAG
Long non-coding RNA from Mauremys reevesii (Reeves's turtle), 203 nucleotides. RefSeq lists it as uncharacterized. The record is from RefSeq and is a predicted model, not a curated record. NCBI's taxonomy places the organism in Eukaryota, Metazoa, Chordata, Testudines, Geoemydidae. The transcript has 3 exons.